ACAAUAUUGAGUCUCUUAGUCUCUGAGCAUGUCUAUCUUUUAGUUUAUUUAGCUCUUCUCUGAUUUUUCUUUAAUCAAACAUUUUAUGGUAUUUAGCCUUCAGAUCUUGCAUACAUUUAGGUAGAUUUAAUUGAUAUUUUAUGUUUCCUACUGCCUUUGUAUGAUACUGUUUUUUAAAUUUGAAUUUCUAGUUGUUCACUGCCAAUAUCUACUAAUACAGGUCAUUUUGUAUAUUGACCUCGUAUGCUA
RNAcentral lists this long non-coding RNA (249 nucleotides) under Homo sapiens (human). Its description in RNAcentral is "non-protein coding lnc-GABRP-4:1". The record is from RNAcentral. Lineage: Eukaryota; Metazoa; Chordata; Mammalia; Primates; Hominidae.